UGCAUGAAUGCAUGUUACAGCUCGAGCCUGGAGCCUUGUGCCUUACAAACUCUGAGUCUGACUGCGGUGCUGCCGUGAGCUCUCAGAAACGCCAAACUAAACCCAGAAACACGGAUAAAAGAGACAGAAGCAUGAGUUCCGCCAGAGAGCACUUCAUAGACGACAUUCAUCCCUUGAAACUCAUUACAGCCAGUGAAAAAGAGACCGAUGUCCAGAAGUACACAGCAGAUUCUGCUGUUGUAAACUUGAGUAAUGGCCACAGUGGUGAUAGACGCAAAUUUAAAAGCCACAGGAAUGAGUCAGUUAACCCAAUAAUGCCACAAUGUGCUGAUGCAAAAGUGCACAAUGAAUUCAAGGACAAAACAUCACAACAGUCGUCUCGCAAUGACAUCAUCGUCAUAGAAAGCCACUCCAUCAAUCAUAUUUCAACUCUAACGGUGUUUAAAGGACAUCAGGGAAACAAUCAAAUGCACAAAUCUCAUAAAAAGAACAGAAGCUCUGACCGACAAAAGUAUUCAGUCUCCGCUAACGUGAAAUCUGAGUGUUUUCCGUCAAAUAACCGACAGUGUGAGCUAGUCCCAGUCUGCGUUCACGAUGCAAAACCUCAAGAAUCUCUCCUUCCAGUGGAAAAUCAACAACCAGACCAGGGAACCAAUCAAACGCCUGAUAAACCGGUGGGAGGAGACUGUGGGCGGAGCCAAAGUCCCAAAACAACAUUUGAAAUGGCACAUCUUUGCCAAGCUUAUGGAAUACAAGAAAUGCCCAAUCAAUCGCCAAACGCUCAACCAAUCAUAACUUCUGACAAUCAAUUGACACCCACCUCUGACCAAUCCAAACCAGAGCUAUGCAUUUAUGAGGAAAUCCAGUUUAGCCCGCCAAGAUCAGAAGAUGUUGAAGAUAAUCAGAAGAAUCAAACCAGUGAAGAUGAAACACAACCAUCAAACCUCACUGUAAACGAGUCUGGACCGACUCACACUGAGGUCAAUGGGGAGUACAGAACAAAAAAUACAGAGAAAAGUCAACCAGGAAGUGAUGUUACGUGCAAGAGAGGGAAGCAGAAAGUUUACAGCUCCUUAAUGAAAAGCUCAGUAAUAAAUCAUAAUGUCCAGGACUGCCGGCCACGGAUAACCGUGCUCAGCACCAGCCUGUAGACUAGAGAGCGGCUGCAGAAAGUGUGAGUGAAUGAGGCAAUAAGACACAAAAAAAGAGAGAAGAGUUGGAAAUUCUGAAGUGGAUUGAUAGUAAAUGGUAAGAUUAAAGUAUUGAAUAGGGAAUUAAAUCCCCUUUGCCUUCAGAAAAGCUUCAACCCUUAAUGGAAUAUAAUCAUAUCAUGCUUAUCUCUGUGUGUGGAGAUCCUGUCUGAUUAGGGAUGAAGAAAACUAUAUUUCAUGUGAAACUCAUAAACUGCCGUUUUAGUUGAGAAUGGUGCUGAUUAAACACUGGUCAUUUUUGUGUCAUUUAGCAACUGUCAUAAGAAGAAUUCAUAAUUUUUAUACAUGCACACUAAAUUUCUUUGACUACUGAGAUAAUACCUCUAAUUGCAUUCAAACUCUUAAGGUUAUUAAUUGACCUGGAAAUAUGCCUAUUCCUUACAUUUCUACAUGUGCAUUAAUCAAUUAAAAAACUUUGUGAUUUGUUUGACCAAUGAUAGUCUCAUAUUGUAAACACAUCUGUGGCUUAUUAAUGGCUUUCUGUGAUUUUGCCAAGUAAGACAAUGUUCCUGGAUCAACAUCCUUGUUAGACGUCCUAUAAACAGACAGAUUUAAAGGUUAUCAGUUUCCUCUUAAAAAUUAAGACUGUUUGCCUGACAGAAAUUUUGACUCCAGAAGCAAAUAAAAGUGGUUGAUCCAGGAAAAAGUCAUAAUAAUAUAUUAGAAGUGAUUUAUUAAAAUAACUUUGUACUUUCAUUGCAGUGUUAUGUGAUGCUGUUUUUGUUGUUAUCUAAUUAAAUCAUCUCAUGUUUUGAUCCUAC
This is a long non-coding RNA of Sinocyclocheilus grahami, 1972 nucleotides long. Lineage: Eukaryota; Metazoa; Chordata; Actinopteri; Cypriniformes; Cyprinidae. The record is from Ensembl.